AAUGAACGUUGGCGGCGUGGAUUAGGCAUGCAAGUCGAGCGAGAACCCAGCAAUGGGGGACAGCGGCGAAAGGGACAGUAAUGUGUAGAUCAUCUGCCCUCAGGUCCGGGAUAGCUGCGGGAAACUGCAGGUAAUACCGGAUAACAUCUCCGGAUCAAAGGUGUGAUUCCGCCUGAGGAUGAGUCUACAUCCUAUUAGCUUGUUGGUGGGGUAAUGGCCUACCAAGGCGAUGAUGGGUAGCGGGUGUGAGAGCACGACCCGCGUCAUUGGGACUGAGACACUGCCCAGACACCUACGGGUGGCUGCAGUCGAGAAUCUUCGGCAAUGGGCGCAAGCCUGACCGAGCGACGCCGCGUGCGGGAUGAAGGCCUUCGGGUUGUAAACCGCUGUCAGAGGGGAUGAAAUGCAGGUGGGUUCUCCCAUCUGUUUGACAUAGCCUCAGAGGAAGGACGGGCUAAGUUCGUGCCAGCCGCCGCGGUAA
Molecule: ribosomal RNA, 481 nt
Filed under: uncultured bacterium
Lineage: Bacteria
Description: partial 16S ribosomal RNA
Rfam family: Bacterial small subunit ribosomal RNA
Source: RNAcentral